AGCAGCCGCGGUAAUUCCAGCUCCAAUAGCGUAUAUUAAAGUUGUUGCAGUUAAAAAGCUCGUAGUUGAAUUUCGGGGUCAGCAGGUUGGUCGUGCCAACGGUAUGUACUGGCUUUGCUGAUUCCUCCUUCUUGUAGAACUGUAAUGCCAUUAAUUUGGUGUUGCAGGGAAACAGGACUGUUACUUUGAAAAAAUUAGAGUGUUUAAAGCAGGCUUACGCUUGAAUACAUUAGCAUGGAGUAAUGAAAUAGGACGUUGAUCCUAUUUUGUUGGUUUCUAGGAUUGACGUAAUGAUUAAUAGGGAUAGUUGGGGGCAUUAGUAUUCAAUUGUCAGAGGUGAAAUUCUUGGAUUUAUUGAAGACUAACUACUGCGAAAGCAUUUGCCAAGGAUGUUUUCAUUAAUCAAGAACGAAAGUUAGGGGAUCGAAGACGAUCAGAUACCGUCGUAGUCUUAACCAUAAACUAUGCCGACUAGGGAUCGGAUGAUGUUAAUUUUUAAUGACUCAUUCGGCGCCUUAAC
Molecule: ribosomal RNA, 520 nt
Filed under: uncultured Glomus
Lineage: Eukaryota; Fungi; Glomeromycota; Glomeromycetes; Glomerales; Glomeraceae
Description: SSU rRNA
Rfam family: Eukaryotic small subunit ribosomal RNA
Source: RNAcentral